This 447-nucleotide ribosomal RNA is filed under the name uncultured bacterium. Its description in RNAcentral is "bacterial SSU rRNA". It matches the Rfam family "Bacterial small subunit ribosomal RNA", at positions 355 to 825 of the family's 1533-position model. The record is from RNAcentral.
UGGGGAAUCUUGCACAAUGGGCGAAAGCCUGAUGCAGCAACGCCGCGUGCGGGAAGAAGGCCCUCGGGUUGUAAACCGCUUUCAGAAGGAACGAAACUGACGGUACUUUCAGAAGAAGGUGCGGCCAACUACGUGCCAGCAGCCGCGGUGACACGUAGGCACCAAGCGUUGUUCGGAAUUACUGGGCGUAAAGGGCGCGUAGGCGGCCUACUAAGUCAGACGUGAAAUCCCCCGGCUUAACCUGGGAACUGCGUCUGAUACUGGAAGGCUUGAGUAUGGGAGAGGGAUGUAGAAUUCCAGGUGUAGCGGUGAAAUGCGUAGAUAUCUGGAGGAAUACCGGUGGCGAAGGUGGCAUCCUGGACCAUUACUGACGCUGAGGCGCGAAAGCUAGGGGAGCAAACGGGAUUAGAUACCCAGGUAGUCCCUGAGCGGGCUGGCAAGGCGCAU